Molecule: long non-coding RNA, 257 nt
Organism: Ictalurus punctatus (channel catfish)
Lineage: Eukaryota; Metazoa; Chordata; Actinopteri; Siluriformes; Ictaluridae
Exons: 3
Source: RefSeq, a predicted model, not a curated record
CAACAAUUUCCUAUUCUUCAGAAACCUGGUCCUCGGUUUCUGUCCAGUCUGGGUUUGUGGCAGGAUAGAACUCUGUUCCCUAGCUUUCAACUGAGGUCCCUUUUAAUACUGAAGCUUUUGUGGUGGUUCAGGGUUGUGGUCAGGUUCACUUGAGUCACAAGUACUUUUGGGAUGCUGUCUUCAAGAGUAUGGACAAAGCCUGGCGGGACCACCUAUCCAGAAAGAUUCUGCACUAACACUCGAUCACCUGGUUGGAG